ACGGAAGGCAGCAGUGGGGAAUAUUGCACAAUGGGGGAAACCCUGAUGCAGCGACGCCGCGUGAGUGAUGAAGUAUUUCGGUAUGUAAAGCUCUAUCAGCAGGGAAGAAAAUGACGGUACCUGACUAAGAAGCACCGGCUAAAUACGUGCCAGCAGCCGCGGUAAUACGUAUGGUGCAAGCGUUAUCCGGAUUUACUGGGUGUAAAGGGAGCGUAGGCGGCGUGGCAAGUCAGAAGUGAAAACCCAGGGCUCAACCUUGGGACUGCUUUUGAAACUGUCAUGCUAGAGUGUCGGAGAGGUAAGCGGAAUUCCUAGUGUAGCGGUGAAAUGCGUAGAUAUUAGGAGGAACACCAGUGGCGAAGGCGGCUUACUGGACGAUAACUGACGCUGAGGCUCGAAAGCGUGGGGAGCAAACAGGAUUAGAUACCCUGGUA
RNAcentral lists this ribosomal RNA (434 nucleotides) under uncultured Lachnospiraceae bacterium. Its description in RNAcentral is "bacterial SSU rRNA". It matches the Rfam family "Bacterial small subunit ribosomal RNA", at positions 341 to 792 of the family's 1533-position model. Lineage: Bacteria; Bacillati; Bacillota; Clostridia; Lachnospirales; Lachnospiraceae. The record is from RNAcentral.